This is a long non-coding RNA of Drosophila sulfurigaster albostrigata, 1294 nucleotides long. RefSeq lists it as uncharacterized. The transcript has 2 exons. Lineage: Eukaryota; Metazoa; Arthropoda; Insecta; Diptera; Drosophilidae. The record is from RefSeq and is a predicted model, not a curated record.
GACCAAAGGAAUUCAAGACUCCAUCAAUGCCGAGUUCUUUAAAGCCAUGUAAUGGUGUGCAUAAGUGGCGCUUUGCCAAAAGACCGUUGUUUGAUAUUGCAACACCUGAAGCUGGGAACACAACGGAGUCCUGGAUUUGCUUGCAUUGUGAUGAAAAGAUUCGUCCCCUGAAAUUUGUAUCUUAUCCGGAGUACCGUCAACAUUUAACUGAAAUUCACAACGAGGUUUUAGAUCCGGCCUUAUGUGUAAAGUGCGGUUGGCGUUCGAGUAAUGGGCUUGAUCUCGACUUCCACAUGUAUAAGCAGCACCAAAUCCCUUCGUUAUUUUAUUCAUUUUCAAAGAACGAUUUUUCAACAUCCCUCUUGGCAAAGUAAUUUCAAGUCAUAUCCUAUGAUAUUAUUUUGUUUACAACGAUGACUUGAGUUAGGUAUUAACUUUAAGAAAUAUUUAAAUAUUAACUCAGGUUUACAUACUACUUUCUUUAUUUUUUUAUUAGAAUUAAACCUUAUGACUAUUGAAGAAAUAAUAUUAGUAACAAUCAAGAUAAUUUCCAUUGCGUUUAGGUUGAUUUAUUAAGAAAAAGAAUUAAUACCGAAGCAAAUAUUGAUAUGUUCUAAAUCGAAUUUAGUUGCAUUCCAAACUGAAUCUCAAAAAUUUAAGAAAUAUUGAAAAAUGCAUUCGAACAUAAUUUGAAUCAAUGUCUUUUGCUUUCAGCUAUAAAGCGUAUCAAUUUGUUUUUCCCCUUUUUUAUUUUUUUUUGGAUUUUACAUUGCUUGUUAUGGUUGGACAUACAAAAAAAAAUUACAUCAUCACAUACAUUAAACAUACAUACAAUAAAUUAGUUUAUAAUUACUACCAUUUUUGAAUAAAGACUUGUUAUUAAUUUAAACUCGAAUCUUGAAUACUUUUCAUCGUACGCUGUAAGAAAACAAUCUAAAAUGUUAUCAGACUGUUUAAUGUACAGCGUACAAAUAAUAUUAACAUUGAAAGAGAUGCACGAAAAUUGCACAAUCGCUAUAAUUAAUUUUUUCGCUUAGCACUGACAAUAUUAAAUCAGCCGCGGCAUUGAUUUGGUGCAAGCAAAGUAUUAACUAAAGCGAAUACAUUUUCAUUGAACCAAAAUGACACAUGUCUCAAAUGUAUAUUUUGUAGCCUGUCCUGCACAGAGAAAAGUCGGUAGUUAUAUACAUGAGCAUGGGCAAAGAUGGUUCAGAAGAAACAAAAGAAAUAUACGGUUUAUAACAUGGCAAUGUUUUAGUUGCGUUUGCAUUUUUCAUUAAGCUCUGUGCCCAAA